CAGUAGCCGCGGUAAUACGUAGGUGGCAAGCGUUGUCCGGAAUUAUUGGGCGUAAAGCGUCUGUAGGUGGCUUUUCAAGUCCGCCGUCAAAUCCCAGGGCUCAACCCUGGACAGGCGGUGGAAACUACCAAGCUGGAGUACGGUAGGGGCAGAGGGAAUUUCCGGUGGAGCGGUGAAAUGUGUUGAGAUCGGAAAGAACACCAACGACGAAAGCACUCUGCUGGGCCGACACUGACACUGAGAGACGAAAGCUAGGGGAGCAAAUGGGAUUAGAUACCCCUGUAGUCCCUGUCUCUUAUAC
Molecule: ribosomal RNA, 301 nt
Filed under: uncultured bacterium
Lineage: Bacteria
Description: partial 16S ribosomal RNA
Rfam family: Bacterial small subunit ribosomal RNA
Source: RNAcentral